RNAcentral lists this ribosomal RNA (253 nucleotides) under uncultured bacterium. Its description in RNAcentral is "partial 16S ribosomal RNA". It matches the Rfam family "Bacterial small subunit ribosomal RNA", at positions 524 to 776 of the family's 1533-position model. The record is from RNAcentral.
UACGUAGGGGGCAAGCGUUGUCCGGAAUCAUUGGGCGUAAAGAGCGCGUAGGCGGCCCAGUAAGUCCGCUCUGAAAGUCAGGGGCUCAACCCCUGGAUGCGGGUGGAUACUGCUGGGCUAGAGUCCGGAAGAGGUGAGUGGAAUUCCUGGUGUAGCGGUGAAAUGCGCAGAUAUCAGGAGGAACACCGGUGGCGAAAGCGACUCUCUGGACGGCAACUGACGCUGAGGCACGAAAGCGUGGGGAGCAAACAGG